UACAGAGGAGCCAAGCGUUGUCCGGAUUGACUGGGCGUAACGCGCACGCAGGCGGAUGCGCGCGUGGGGUGUGAAAUCUGGCCGCUUAACGGCCAGGCGCCAUCCCAUACGGCGCGUCUGGAGUGAUGCAGAGGUCGGUGGAAUUGCCGGUGUAGUGGUGAAAUGCGCAGAUAUCGGGAGGAACACCAAUGGCGAAGGCAGCUCGCUGGGACGGUACUGACGCUGAGACGCGAAAGCGUGGGGAGCAAACAGG
This 253-nucleotide ribosomal RNA is filed under the name uncultured bacterium. RNAcentral's name for it is "partial 16S ribosomal RNA". It matches the Rfam family "Bacterial small subunit ribosomal RNA", at positions 524 to 776 of the family's 1533-position model. The record is from RNAcentral.